Molecule: ribosomal RNA, 253 nt
Filed under: uncultured bacterium
Lineage: Bacteria
Description: partial 16S ribosomal RNA
Rfam family: Bacterial small subunit ribosomal RNA
Source: RNAcentral
UACGUAGGGGGCUAGCGUUGUCCGGAUUUAUUGGGCGUAAAGAGCGUGUAGGCGGCCAGGUAGGUCUGCUGUGAAAACUCGAGGCUCAACCUCGAGACGUCGAUGGAAACCGUCUGGCUAGAGUCCGGAAGAGGAGAGUGGAAUUCCUGGUGUAGCGGUGAAAUGCGCAGAUAUCAGGAAGAACACCCGUGGCGAAAGCGGCUCUCUGGGACGGUACUGACGCUGAGACGCGAAAGCGUGGGGAGCGAACAGG